This 1357-nucleotide long non-coding RNA is filed under the name Ananas comosus (pineapple). RNAcentral's name for it is "long non-coding RNA (ACOM_LNC000616)". The record is from RNAcentral. Lineage: Eukaryota; Viridiplantae; Streptophyta; Magnoliopsida; Poales; Bromeliaceae.
AUAUAUAUAUAUAUAUAUAUAUAUAUAUGAUUUUAUAUAUUAUUCUAUAUUAGUUUAUUUUUAUAUUUAUAAAAAUUAUAAUUAUUUAUGAUAAUGACAUAAAUCUAAAAAAAAAUUAAUUUAGAGAAAAAAAUAUAAUAGCCGAAUUACGGAUAUUCUUCAUAAUUAUGAGUAUUUAUACUAAUAGCAUAAAAAAAUUUAAUUUAACAGCCGAAUUUUUUAUCCCGAAUUUUUACUUGGUGAACGUAUAAUAUUUGUAUAAAUCACAUAUCUGAAUAAUUGACGAAUCUGUUUUUUAACCGUAUUUUUUAACGAAUUUAAAAUUAAGAUACAAAUUUUAUCCGUAUUAUAUCCGUACCGAAUUUUUGCCGAAUCUAAAUUAACUAACUAUGAUCAGUUGCAGUUGACACAUAGUCAUUUCUCUAUCUCCCUUUGCAGUAGCGGUUAUUCAUACAAUUAUUACGGUUGUGUUCAACUCAGUUAUCAUUGCUAUUGCACAAAUUUGAUUGUUGUCUAUAGUUAGUUGUUGCCUUAUUAUCUCACUUUACAAUAGUAGCUUCUUUGGCGAUUAUCGGUGGACGUUAUUCAUUGUUAUUAUAUCUGAUUUUUUUUGUUACUACUAUUGUUUACCCUUCCAUUUGCCGGUGGGUACAGCUUGCGUUUGUCGACUUGUGAUACCCACUUGGAGGGGGAGAUUGUUUACAUGUUCUCACCCCCCACUUUUUUUUUUCAGGUAGCUCGGGAUGUGAAAGUCGGAACGGUGCGUGAGGACAUAGAUAGUGAGCUUGUGAUAUAGGUCUCGACUUACGAUAUCAUCUUUGGAUUCUUCUCAUAUUUUAUGUAUAUCACUAGAUAGACAUUGUUGAUAGUCCAGAUUCUACCCUUUUGUCACAAGAUAGUAGAUAGACGGUCGUGGUUUAGUUAUUGUUUAUCCAUGUGAGAAUUUGGUUACUCAUGAGAUUUUGGAUAUUUGUAGAUUUUGGAAACUUGAGGUUUCGAUUACUCGGGGUUUUGAAGUUUGAUUUCGAAUGAUAGAUUUCUACCCUUCGUGGUAGCUUGUUUACUUUAAAAUAAAGGUCUCCAUGUAGGAAAUAUUUUUCAAAGUGGUUUUUUCAGCUUUUCGUGAAUUUCAGAAAAUUAGAAUUUCAAAGUGAAGCUUUCAUGGGAGCGGGGCGCUUUAAACUAGUAGGAAUGAAUGUGAAAUUGAUGUGGAAUGGUUUGACUAGGGACGACUAGCUACAUGAUGUGAAACUUGUGGAAUGAUAAUCUUUGUGACUUGUGAUUUUUGUUUGUGUGAGUGGAGGUCAUUGUUGAUAAUUGUACAUGUGCCACGUUGUGCAAAUAGAUGAGAGACUCU